AACAACAGGAGAGGCAAGCAGAGCACAGUAGGAACUGAAUGGGGUUUGCGUGAAAGAAAAAUCCAGGGAAAGGUGUCCUGCAGAACGUGCACGGUGGAGUCUAGUUCCUGUCCCCUAGAGUGUGGGUUAGCGUUUAUGACGGCCUUCAUGAAUGAGUGCAAUAGAAGUGACACUGUAUGAUUUCUGAGGCUGGAUCAUAAAAGGCGAAAGAGAAACCACUGCAAGCUGGCUUUUGGGAUGCUCACCUUUGGAACCUGGCCGCCAUGUUGUGAGAGAGCCCAGGCCUCGUGGAGAGGCCACAAGUAGAUGUUCUGGCUGACAGCAAUCAACAAUUGCCAGAUAAACAACUGAAUAAGCAUUCAGAUGACAUCAGCUCCCAGGCCUUGGGGAUUCCAGCUAAGGCCUCAGACAUUGAGGCACAGAGAUAGGCUGCUCCCAGUGUGCCCUGCUCACAUUCCUGAGCCAUUAAAACCACAGAGACACGAAAACGAUGUUGUUUCCAGUCACUAAGUUUGUGUGUGAUUUGUUAUGCAUGAAUGGGGGCUGAAAGAGGCAACCAGCCCUAGGGCAGACUUAUCUACUCUCCCACCUAAACAAAUCCUUUGUUUUAUAAAAUUUAAGUUAGGAUGGGAGACAUAGAGAUUGUUGGUGCUUGAAGGAACCCUGGGGAUCACUUGACCCAACAUUCCCUCCUCUUCUCCUGAGAGUCAGAUGUAGAAUGAAUGGUGAAUGCUUGACAGUAAGGUCAGCUUUAGGGUUGUUUGAAGGAUGAAAUGAUAAAAUGCACAGAAAAAUGCCUGGCACUUAGUAGUUGCUCAAUAAAGCUUAAUUCUCUCUUCC
RNAcentral lists this long non-coding RNA (840 nucleotides) under Homo sapiens (human). Its description in RNAcentral is "non-protein coding lnc-SLC38A8-5:2". The record is from RNAcentral. Lineage: Eukaryota; Metazoa; Chordata; Mammalia; Primates; Hominidae.